Molecule: ribosomal RNA, 432 nt
Filed under: uncultured bacterium
Lineage: Bacteria
Description: partial 16S ribosomal RNA
Rfam family: Bacterial small subunit ribosomal RNA
Source: RNAcentral
AACGAACGCUGGCGGCAUGCCUAACACAUGCAAGUCGAACGGCACCUCGGGGUUCGGCGUGGCCGGGGGUGGCAAGCGGGGGAAUCCUGCCUUAGGGUUGGGAUAAACCCCCGGAAGGGGGCGUCAAAACCGGUAAUAGUAUCGGAUCAAAGGUUUGGUGGCCUUGGGUGGGCCCUCAGUGGGUUCGCUAGUUGGGAGGGUAAAAUCCUACCAAGGCGACGGUCCAUAGCAGGUUUGAGAGGAUGAGCAGCCACACCGGGACUGAGACACGGCCCAGACUCCUACGCGAGGCAGCAGUGGGUAAUACUGGACAGUGGGCGGAAGCCUGAACCAGCUAUGCCGGGUGAGUGAUGAAGGCCUGAGGGUUGUAAAGCUCUUUUACCCGGGAUGAUGAUGACAGUACCGGGAGAAUAAGCACCGGCUAACUCCGUG